CCCCUAGAUGUUCUGGGCCGCACGCGCGCUACACUGAACAGUUCAACAAGUCUUAACCUUGGCCGAUAGGUCUGGGUAAUCUUUGAACGCUGUUCGUGAUUGGGAUAGACCUUUGCAAUUAUGGGUCUUCAACGAGGAAUUCCUAGUAAACGCAAGUCAUCAGCUUGCAUUGAUUACGUCCCUGCCCUUUGUACACACCGCCCGUCGCACCUACCGAUUGAAUGAUUUAGUGAGGACUUCGGACUGGGACCGAUGCGGCUUUCGGGCUGCGUCGGUAUUCUGGAAAGAUGUCCAAACUGUAUCAUUUAGAGGAAGUAAAAGUCGUANCA
RNAcentral lists this ribosomal RNA (329 nucleotides) under uncultured eukaryote. Its description in RNAcentral is "partial 18S ribosomal RNA". It matches the Rfam family "Eukaryotic small subunit ribosomal RNA", at positions 1470 to 1796 of the family's 1831-position model. The record is from RNAcentral.